RNAcentral lists this long non-coding RNA (295 nucleotides) under Zonotrichia albicollis (white-throated sparrow). Its description in RNAcentral is "lncRNA (ENSZALG00000016723.1)". Lineage: Eukaryota; Metazoa; Chordata; Aves; Passeriformes; Passerellidae. The record is from RNAcentral.
CUUUGCCCUUUUUAUCUCCUGAGGUCUCUGAGUUCCAGUUUGUCCCGUGUUUGCUUUCACGCAGCUGUUUUGAGGCGUGAGUUAAUAUGAUGCUAUCUAAAGGAAAAGCAGUGUGAUAGUUUCUUAGUGGCACUGAUCAGAUGGGAUGGAUUUGAAGCUGUUCAGACAUAUGACAUUAGAGAUGCAAAAUUCCCUAGCCAAGAGAGAAGGUCACUGAUCCUCCAUCAGUCAGCGCACAACAGAUUCUCAUUCUUUAGAGUGGAUUUUGAGAUUUGCAAAUAGAAAUUAAAUCCCU